RNA transcript from Molossus molossus (Pallas's mastiff bat), 1723 nucleotides. It is a transcript of the gene named transmembrane protein 248, with no coding region annotated. NCBI's taxonomy places the organism in Eukaryota, Metazoa, Chordata, Mammalia, Chiroptera, Molossidae. The transcript has 9 exons. The record is from RefSeq and is a predicted model, not a curated record.
GGAUUUGGCCUGGGGAGCAUUUUGGGAGUUUGCCAUUGUUUGGCUUAGGGUAGUGUCUGUGUUCCUUCUGCGUUCGCAAAUUCUGUCCAUCUCAGAAAGAAGAGGGGAGGUGGAGGUCCGCGUCUCCGCGGAAACUUAGCAUGAAGCAGUGUUACGUGUCAAGCUUGGUCAACGUUCAGAGUCGAGUGGAUUAUUGUCUACACGUAUGUUUUCCCUAAAAUAGAUGCAGGCAUGGCUUCGCGGUAGUCCAGAGGCAUUUAGUUCUAGUUCCCUGGAUGGGCACCGUCAGGAAUAAAACUGGGCCUGUUGUGAAUUGUGUGAAUAACCAUAACCGGUGGACAGCUGGUGAGGGGGCCCUCGCCGAAGAAUCAGAUGUCUGUAGUUUAGUUCCCAGCUAGCAGAUUACAGCCCUGCCUGCGGGAUGGAGGAUGAGCUGCUUUGUCAAGGAGAGCUUGUGGCUCCUGAACUGCUGCUUUCCUGCCUCAUAGGUGGAGCUGAUCAGAAUAAUGUUCAACAUCAACCCCCUGGAGAACCUGAAGCUGUACAUCAGCAGUCGGCCUCCCCUGGUGGUCUUUAUGAUCAGUGUAAGCGCUAUGGCAAUAGCUUUCCUGACCUUGGGCUAUUUCUUCAAAAUCAAGGAGAUUAAGUCACCGGAAAUGGCAGAGGACUGGAAUACUUUUCUGCUGCGGUUUAAUGAUUUGGACUUGUGUGUAUCAGAGAAUGAAACAUUAAAGCAUCUUGCAAAUGACACUACAACUCCCGAAAGCACAAUGACCAGUGCACAGACCAGAGUGUCCACCCAGUCCCCACAGGCGCUGGAGGAUUCAGGCCCGGUUAACAUCUCAGUUGCAAUCACCCUCACCCUGGACCCACUCAAACCCUUUGGGGGGUACUCUCGAAAUGUUACCCACCUGUACUCGACCAUUUUAGGGCAUCAGAUUGGACUUUCAGGCAGGGAAGCCCAUGAAGAGAUAAACAUUACCUUUACCCUGCCAGCAGCUUGGAGCUCGGACGACUGUGCCCUUCAUGGUCACUGUGAGCAGGUGGUGUUCACGGCCUGCAUGACCCUCACAGCCAACCCUGGUGUGUUCCCCGUCACAGUACAGCCACCACACUGCGUUCCGGACACAUACAGCAACGCCACGCUCUGGUACAAGAUCUUCACAACUGCCAGAGAUGCCAACACAAAAUAUGCUCAAGAUUACAAUCCUUUCUGGUGUUAUAAGGGGGCCAUUGGAAAAGUCUAUCAUGCUUUAAAUCCCAAGCUUACAGUUAUUGUUCCAGAUGAUGACCGUUCAUUAAUAAAUUUGCAUCUCAUGCACACCAGUUACUUCCUCUUCGUGAUGGUGAUAACAAUGUUUUGCUAUGCGGUUAUCAAGGGCAGACCCAGCAAACUGCGGCAGAGCAGUCCUGACUUUUGUUCUGAGAAGAUCUUGACGUCUAUGUCGUACCAUGUCCAUGACCACAUGACCGGUGCACAGGCCACACACGUGGAGAAGCUGGUAAAUAAAGCCUGGACACAACUACCCUGAAGUGGUGACGACUGGGUUAGAUGCUUGUACCUGCUAGUAGAGGAUUGCUGUGAAGGGGAUGGCUCUACACGCAGUGUGACAGUUUUGGAGACUGGGAAGUUCAAGAUCUACAUUCCCACAAAUUCUAUGUCUGGCGAGGGCCUGCUUUCUGGUUCAUAGACCAGCCAUCUUUUUGCUGUGACGUCACAUGG